AAUUCAUCUUGAUAUUCUUCUAAAUUUCCAUCUUGUCUAAGCUUCAUAAAUCCUUCCACUAGAUCUUCCAACUCUUCAUCCCCAAGCCUACUACAGAUUUCCUUCUCAAAUUCUUCCUAAGAAUGCACUCCUCCCCUGUUCCAAUUAUGAAACCAUGCAUCAACCCUAUCCACAAGCAACAUACUAGCUAUAGGUACCCUUUGAUCAAUUGGCACCCUUUAAACCUUGUAGAGAAAAUGGGUUGAGCUUAAUUCCACCAAAAAAG
Molecule: unclassified non-coding RNA, 265 nt
Filed under: Hevea brasiliensis (rubber tree)
Lineage: Eukaryota; Viridiplantae; Streptophyta; Magnoliopsida; Malpighiales; Euphorbiaceae
Source: RNAcentral